UUCCAGGCUUGACCCUAUCAAAGGUUGCCUCAGAGUCAGGUUGGGAGGUUACCAUAAAGCAGCCCAGCCUCAGAAAUGGACAAGCCUUUCUGGAAGCCAAGACCAAGUGGAGAGACAUGCCACUGAGACAGGACCCAAUGGUCUGUCACCAGCUGCCAGAAAGAUGGCUCUCCUACAUCAAACACUAGGGCAAGAUAAACAGCAUCCCUAAGACCUUCCCUGGACAGAUUUGGGCUGGAGGGCACAAUGAGGCCUGACAGUUUCAUUCUGGGUUUGCCAUGGGUUCUAUACAAAGCCAGAAGCUGGGUGGGAAGGGAAUCUCCCCAAUUACCUGAGACGACUUUGGUAGGCAAAGUAAAAUGGGAAAUGGGGCAGAAAUAGACAGCCAGACUGUCAGCUAAAGCCAGCUCUGGUGAGCCUGAAGUUCGGAGACCCCUGCGCCCCCUGCUGGUCCCUCAGACAGGCUGCUGCCUUUUGGGCUUCCUUCUCCUCAGGGGGCUUUCUGGUCCUUUCUAUUUGCCUCUGUAUCUGGAAUGACUGCUUCACCUCUCCCCAUCUCCCCUCACUCGUUUUAAUCUUUUCAGUUUCGGACAUAGCCUGGAGCUGCUCCCUCUACCCUGCCAUGACCCGGCUUCUUCCUUUUUUUUUUUUUUCUUUUUUUGAGACAGUGUCUCACUCUGUCACCCAGGCUGGAGUGCAGUGGCGUGAUCUGGGCUCACUGCAACCUCCACCUCCUGGGUUCAAGCAAUUCUCCUGCCUCAGCCUCCCAAGUAGCUGGGACUACAGGUGCGCACCACCACGCCUGGCUAAUUUUUGUAUUUUUAGUUGAGAUGAGGUUUUACUAUGUUGGGCAGGCAGGUCUUGAACUCCUGACCUCAGGUGAUCUGUCCGCCUUGGCCUCCCAGAGUGUUAGGAUUACAGGCGUGAGCCACCGCACCUGGCCCCAGCUUCUUCCUUUCUAACAAAAACCUGAGUCUGACCAAAUCUCUCUCUCUCUCUUUUUUUUUUUUUUUUUUUUUUUGGUAGUAUAUGAGCCAUCCUCUUCAAGAAGCCUGGAAACCCUGCUUCCCCACCUACAGGCAUGCCCCUCAGGACUGUGAAAGUGGCAGCUUUCCUCUCCCUGCCUCAGCCAUCACUUCAGAGCAGGCUACUGCUGCUGCCUCCCAGAGGGGCUUGCAGCCUCCAGCUCUUGCUCCUCCCCUCUGUCUCUAGCGCUGCAGAAACAGAUCUUUUAUAGGGCCUUUGAGGUUGGCCCCACUAGCUUUCUCAUGACAGCCCUCCACUAUGCUCCAGAUUGGUCCAGGAAUACUCUCUUUCUCUUUCCAAAUCCUGUCCACUUAGCACGUUCUGAUAACUCCAGUGUUCACACUCCAGCCCAUCUCCGCCAUGCCCUCCCCUGAGGCUCCUGCUGCCAGGCCACUGCUAUGCCAUUGUCUCUUGAGUGUGUUUGUCUUCUGAGAUUGGAAGCACCAGGAGGUCAACAUCUUCCACCUCCCAUAAGGCCAAGGGCAAUGCCAGGCUCCCAAUGUGCACUCAAAGGAUCAUUUUGAAUGCUGCUCCUCUCCUAAUGACCUCCUGGCCCCACCUCAGAGUUCUUUGGGGUGUGGCAGGGCCGGGAUGUGGCUGGGUCUCCCAAGGCUGUCAUUGUCAGGUCACUGCAGAAGGAGGAGAGAUAUGGGGACAUUUUCUAGAAAGGGUGAGAACAAGAGGGAGAUUGGGUGAGGGAGGGAAGACCACUCAGGGAUGAGAUCCCUGGGUGUUAGUCACCACACUAGUGGGGAAGCCCAUGCGGGACUUGGAGGAUGUGGAUCCAGGGGAAGCCCCCAAAUCUCAUAGUUGCUUUGUUCUAUCGUCUCUCCCCAUGCCUUCAAAGGCGGCCUGCCUUCCCAGUUCCCAGCCUCCCGCCAGAUUCUUGCGUGACCUCGGGCGGCACCCAGUGCUGCUGUGGACAGCUCAUUCCGCCGCGGCGGCGGCUGCGGCUGCGGCGGCUACAACGGCUCCCGGCGUGUCCCCGGCGCCGCCAGGGGGCGAAUGGGGUGCCCGCCGGCUCCUCGGACUCCGGGCGCGCCGGCACUGCGCUCCGGAGAGGCCCGGCCAGGGAAGAAGCAACUUCCCUCCGCCGCCGCAGACCAGCCGGGCAGAGACUUCCAGCCCCACCCUCAAGCCCUCUCGGUGGCUCUGUGCGCCCAGGCCUAGGGGUGGGGGGCCGUAGGUGCUGCGCGCCCGCACAGGUGGUCAGGCCGUCAGCAUGCCUGGCUCGUCGCGCACAGAACACUGCCCAGGGGUUCACCCAGCUCCCCUCCCUCCCCUCCGCUGCCCUCCUGGCAGCUCCAGCUCUGCUCUCGCGGCUUUCCAGGUUUUGGGGUGGGUGAUUGAGUAGGCCGCACCUGGGACACUGUGACUGGAGGACGCCGGAAUUUAAGGAGGGGACGAGGGAGACGCAGCUCUGUUUCUCGCUGUACCCCCUCACCCCUCCGAAGCAGCCGCGGGCGGUGCGCAGGCCGUUCUCUGCGUCCUCGGGCUCUGGGUGAGGCUGGGUGCAGCGGGAGAGACCCGGGGCGAGCUGCUGGGGGCUGUGUGGCCGGCCCCAAGCUGGCCGCGCGCACACGCUGCGCACCUGUUGGAGCGGGCCUCUGCCUGUUCGGACCCGAGCCGGGCCUCCACGACACAGUCCCCUUGGGCGGCGAAACGGCCACAUCUAGCUUUAGGUUUGAAAGGAAAACAAAAUAGGGGGAAAAAAGUGGGUUUACAGUUGCAUACAUGGACUCUCUGGGUCAGCUCUUGAUGAGGACCAAAUAUCAGUAGGUCUUUUGGGGCUGCAGCCAACAAGCUGGCAGCUGAGGACAGAGACCUGCUCCCUGGCCUUGGCACUGCUGGAGAUCUUUCAGCUUGAUGAGAUGCAGUUUUCACAGAAAAAUUCUGUUCCUUAGAACCCAAGUGAGUCUUUCUCAAAACUGCCAGAGUUGGUGAUAAACCUGUGUUAAAAAAAAAAAAAAAAAAUUCCCCUGUGUGUCCACAUACUAGCCAGUAUCCACUCCAGGUAAAAGUUUCUACCAUUGAGUAAAAGGAAGUUAUGUUUAGGAAGUUUUUGAAACAGCCCCUCUCUACUUGUCUGCUAGUUAAUCACCCACAUUUUGUUUUGGUUUGGUUUGGUUAGAUUUGGUGGGGUUUUUUUUAUUUGUUUUCGUUUUUUGCAACUUAAAGCAAGAAUUAAAAGUUAAUUCUGAAGCUUCACAUAUGCUUUGGCUUCAAAUCCUAACAUUCAGCACAGGUUUCCACAUGGGGAGUGCCAGGUCUGACAUCUGUGUCAGUCCUUAUUUUGAUUCAGGGUUGGUUAGAUAGAUGCUCAAAUCAUUGAGGGAGGGAAGUCCUGGAUGAGGGCACUGCACUGCCCACCAGGGUGUCCAUGAGACACUUUAUAACCUAAGUGUCUUUCAGACUCUGAGGUGUGGGACUGGGUUGCAAACUCCAGACAUUAACUUUCUUUAGCAUCUGGAACCUGGGUCCUAGGAGACUAUUUCCUCCUUACUUCAUCCAGACAUCAAAAAUAGACCCAGCAAUUGAUCCCAUGUUUAGAGGCCCUCAGUGACUCUGCAUCCCCAAGGGGAGCCUCAUCUCCCAGGACACAGCACUGACACUCUGCAGACAGUACAGGGGAUCUACUCCAAGCCCAGGGCAAGACCCCACACCCACUCCCUCUGUCCUUACCUUGCUGCAGUAUUGUGUCUUCCUCAAAUUUUCUCAUAGGUGAGUGCUUACCAGGAGUGGCUCCCACAGAGCUUCCCCAUUCACCCAAACCUGUCUGGAAGAGCACCCCAGUUCAGCCACCCAAACCUCACCUCUCACCCUCUUCCAGUUAGCACUGCCUUUUCUCCUUAUCCCUGCCAGGGACCCCUUUCUUCCCAGGAGAGAUACCCAAAUUGUGAGUAUCCCACACAAUUUAAUGGGAACCUACUUUGUGCCAGGCACCAGGCCACGGGUUGUGGAUGCAAAAACAACCAUGGGAGGAGGAGCUGGGAUUGGGGCAUUUAAUGAAAGAACUCCUAGGAGAGGAGUGAUGAGGUUUGGCACAUUGACAUUCACACACCCCACCCACCCCCAGCCUCCACUCCACUGGUUCUCUGGCCUUCUCAUUUUUUUUUUUUUUUUGUUUUUUUUUUUUUUUUGGAGACAGAGUGCUAAGAAAGGUGGGUGCGGUAGGCAGAGGCAAGAGGGGAGUCCUGUGGGUGGGCUGGCCAGAAAUCACAGGCCCUUAAGGCAGGAGGAACCUGGCACAGCCAGACCCUCGGACAAUCUCCCUAGGCCAGCACAACCACAUCGCUGCGAACUGGACCGGGAACAUUCCAACCUAAUCGCAGCUCAGAUCAGCGAGCUCCGGAGGCUCCACACAUUGGGGCCGAACUCCACCCAGGGUGCCUGCCACUUUUGGGUAGGGGGGCGGGUGGGGGGCAGCCUGCUCUCUCACCAGGCCAGGCAGCAGCGGGGACUUCCAGAUCCUCAAGGAUUCUCCAGACCGUUGUCUGGAGACCCAGAGUUUUUUCCUCUCCAGCUUCUGGGGCAACUUGGUGGGGCAGAGGGGUGGCCCCACCUGUGGGAGGGACUGAAAAGAUCCUGCCUCAGGACCAGGACUUUGGUGAUCCCAGUUCUCAAGGACCCCCUGCUCAGGCUGCUAUUAUCCAAAAGGGCCGAGGGUCAGGAUUUCAGCCCCAGCCCGGGCCCAAGCCUGCACUGUUGCCUCUACCAGGUCCAGCCCUGUCCUGCGCCCCACAGAGCGGAAGGACACAGGCCAGGAUAUGGGCACAACAGCCCCCAGUCCGGAAGUGAGUGGUCAGGUGGCCAAUGGGACCGCAGACUCUGUUGUUGUGUAAUAGUUUUUAUUUAUUAAGCUUCUUUUAUUUAAUAAAACUUUUAUUAAAGCUUCUAUUCUUCUAUUACGCAAACAGAGAGCAGCUCUUUUCCUAAGGGAGUGGCAGGGCAUGGGGACAGAUGUCUUAAAUAUACUACCCAAUGUCACCAAUUUCAACUUGACAAUGAAAAGACAGAGAGCGGAAGGAAGCCCCUUCCUCUUUAUGCACUGGAGCGCUUCCUCCAUCUCCUCACCCCUCCCCCAGCCCCCUCCCUCCUCCUCUCUCUCUCUCCUUGGCAUAAGAAAGCAGGUCUCUGGCAUUGGCAAAGAGAAAAGUUAAAGGCAGAGAAGCAGUGAGAGGAAGGGAGGACAGGCAGGGAGGAAGGUUCCCCAGCGGACCUAGCUGACCGUCCCCUGGAGGCCAGCCAAAGUGUGCGUGGCCACGGCUCAGAAUUUGCAUCAGUAACAGCACCAGCAGCCCCUGCAGCGGCAAGGGAGAUCAUUUAUCCAGUGCUUGCUAUGUGUCCGGCCCUGUGCUUAAGUAUUUUUCAUUCAUUAUCUUUUUUAAUCCAACCAAACCUCAGGAGAGUUUAUUAAUUCCAUUUAACAAAUGAGGCAACUGAGGCUCAGAGAAUUUAAGAGGCCUCUAAUUAGGGCAGUCCUUUUUGCACUCUGCAACCCAUCUGACCUCUUCCUUCUCAAGCCCUGGUCUGCAGCCCAUCCUUCCAGAGCUGGAGAGGAGGCAGGACAGGCUCAGGAAGGUUCUACUUUUUCCCUACUCUCACAGCCCCCUACUUCCACCUGUCCCAUAGCUGUUUAAUUCCAUUGUCUCAAAAAUGAGGGCUGCUUGGGUUUUCAUGGGGAGGGAGCAGACAGCAGGGCCAGUGCACCCUGGCACGUGGGAAGGGGCCUGAGCCCAGCUUGGCAUACUGACCUGGCACGGCCUGGCUAGCAUCGUCGUCCCACACGUCAGAGUAGCCAUGGUCGCUUUUGUUAGCUGGGAUUACUGCAUUCAGGAGGGAGGAGGAGAGAAAGGAGGGGUCCCAGGCUGAGGUGGGAAAGGGAGGGGGCGCCACAAACUCCUAGGAACUCCAAGCCCCUGGGACUCAGUUACUCCCUGCCCCGAGUGGCUUUCUCUUCCUCCCCACUCCUGCUUGCUCUGCCUCCAUCAUGGCUGGGGCAACUGGGACCAGCGGGAGCCCUGCCUGACUCCCACAUUUAGA
Molecule: long non-coding RNA, 6069 nt
Filed under: Homo sapiens (human)
Lineage: Eukaryota; Metazoa; Chordata; Mammalia; Primates; Hominidae
Description: non-protein coding lnc-IGIP-4:1
Source: RNAcentral